UAUUUACUCCCUCCGUCCAAAAAUACUUGUCAUCAAAAUGGAUAAAAUGAGAUAUAUCACGAACUAAAAUACAUCUAGAUACAUCCUUUUUAAUCCAUUUUGAUGACAAGUAUUUCCGGACGGAGGGAAUAUAAG
Non-coding RNA from Triticum aestivum (bread wheat), 135 nucleotides. Lineage: Eukaryota; Viridiplantae; Streptophyta; Magnoliopsida; Poales; Poaceae. The record is from Rfam.